AGUGAACGCUGGCGGUAGGCCUAACACAUGCAAGUCGAACGGCAGCACAGUAAGAGCUUGCUCUUACGGGUGGCGAGUGGCGGACGGGUGAGGAAUACAUCGGAAUCUACUUUUUCGUGGGGGAUAACGUAGGGAGACUUGCGCUAAUACCGCAUACGACCUAAGGGUGAAAGCAGGGGAGCUUCGGACCUUGCGCGAUUGAAUGAGCCGAUGUCGGAUUAGCUAGUUGGCGGGGUAAAGGCCCACCAAGGCGACGAUCCGUAGCUGGUCUGAGAGGAUGAUCAGCCACACUGGAACUGAGACACGGUCCAGACUCCUACGGGAGGCAGCAGUGGGGAAUAUUGGACAAUGGGCGCAAGCCUGAUCCAGCCAUACCGCGUGGGUGAAGAAGGCCUUCGGGUUGUAAAGCCCUUUUGUUGGGAAAGAAAAGCAGCAGGUUAAUACCCCGCUGUUCUGACGGUACCCAAAGAAUAAGCACCGGCUAACUUCGUG
This 492-nucleotide ribosomal RNA is filed under the name uncultured bacterium. RNAcentral's name for it is "partial 16S ribosomal RNA". It matches the Rfam family "Bacterial small subunit ribosomal RNA", at positions 29 to 507 of the family's 1533-position model. The record is from RNAcentral.